GACGAACGCUGGCGGCGUGCUUAACACAUGCAAGUCGAACGGAAAGGUACUGCUUUUGUGGGGUGCUCGAGUGGCGAACGGGUGAGUAACACGUGAGUAACCUGCCUUUGACUUUGGGAUAACUUCAGGAAACUGGGGCUAAUACCGGAUAGGAGCUCCUGCUGCAUGGUGGGGGUUGGAAAGUUUCGGCGGUUGGGGAUGGACUCGCGGCUUAUCAGCUUGUUGGUGGGGUAGUGGCUUACCAAGGCUUUGACGGGUAGCCGGCCUGAGAGGGUGACCGGCCACAUUGGGACUGAGAUACGGCCCAGACUCCUACGGGAGGCAGCAGUGGGGAAUAUUGCACAAUGGGCGGAAGCCUGAUGCAGCAACGCCGCGUGCGGGAUGACGGCCUUCGGGUUGUAAACCGCUUUCGCCUGUGACGAAGCGUGAGUGACGGUAAUGGGUAAAGAAGCACCGGCUAACUACGUG
RNAcentral lists this ribosomal RNA (468 nucleotides) under uncultured bacterium. Its description in RNAcentral is "partial 16S ribosomal RNA". It matches the Rfam family "Bacterial small subunit ribosomal RNA", at positions 28 to 507 of the family's 1533-position model. The record is from RNAcentral.